GCGGUGGGGGCGUGCCUAUACAUGCAAGUCGAGCGGACAGAAGGGAGCUUGCUCCCGGAUGUUAGCGGCGGACGGGUGAGUAACACGUGGGUAACCUGCCUGUAAGACUGGGAUAACUCCGGGAAACCGGAGCUAAUACCGGAUAGUUCCUUGAACCGCAUGGUUCAAGGAUGAAAGACGGUUUCGGCUGUCACUUACAGAUGGACCCGCGGCGCAUUAGCUAGUUGGUGAGGUAACGGCUCACCAAGGCGACGAUGCGUAGCCGACCUGAGAGGGUGAUCGGCCACACUGGGACUGAGACACGGCCCAGACUCCUACGGGAGGCAGCAGUAGGGAAUCUUCCGCAAUGGACGAAAGUCUGACGGAGCAACGCCGCGUGAGUGAUGAAGGUUUUCGGAUCGUAAAGCUCUGUUGUUAGGGAAGAACAAGUGCAAGAGUAACUGCUUGCACCAUGACGGUACCUAACCAGAAAGCCACGGCUAACUACGUGCCAGCAGCCGCGGUAAUACGUAGGUGGCAAGCGUUGUCCGGAAUUAUUGGGCGUAAAGGGCUCGCAGGCGGUUUCUUAAGUCUGAUGUGAAAGCCCCCGGCUCAACCGGGGAGGGUCAUUGGAAACUGGGAAACUUGAGUGCAGAAGAGGAGAGUGGAAUUCCACGUGUAGCGGUGAAAUGCGUAGAGAUGUGGAGGAACACCAGUGGCGAAGGCGACUCUCUGGUCUGUAACUGACGCUGAGGAGCGAAAGCGUGGGGAGCGAACAGGAUUAGAUACCCUGGUAGUCCACGCCGUAAACGAUGAGUGCUAAGUGUUAGGGGUUUCCGCCCCUUAGUGCUGCAGCUAACGCAUUAAGCACUCCGCCUGGGGAGUACGGUCGCAAGACUGAAACUCAAAGGAAUUGACGGGGGCCCGCACAAGCGGUGGAGCAUGGUGGUUUAAUUCGAAGCAACGCGAAGAACCUUACCAGUCUUGACAUCCUCUGACACCUAGAGAUAGGGCUUCCUUCGGGGACAGAGUGGACAAGGGGGUGCAUGGUUGUCGUCAGCUUCGUGUCC
Molecule: ribosomal RNA, 1049 nt
Filed under: Bacillus xiamenensis
Lineage: Bacteria; Bacillati; Bacillota; Bacilli; Caryophanales; Bacillaceae
Description: bacterial SSU rRNA
Rfam family: Bacterial small subunit ribosomal RNA
Source: RNAcentral